This 118-nucleotide ribosomal RNA is filed under the name Aegilops tauschii subsp. strangulata. The record is from RNAcentral. Lineage: Eukaryota; Viridiplantae; Streptophyta; Magnoliopsida; Poales; Poaceae.
GGAUGCGAUCUACCAGCACUAAAGCACCGGAUCCCAUCAGAACUCCGAAGUUAAGCGUGCUUGGGCGAGAGUAGUACUAGGAUGGGUGACCUCCUGGGAAGUCCUAGUGUUGCAUUCC